This 780-nucleotide ribosomal RNA is filed under the name fungal sp. RNAcentral describes it as "eukaryotic LSU rRNA". The stretch from base 461 to 780 matches the Rfam family "Eukaryotic large subunit ribosomal RNA", at positions 1 to 324 of the family's 3401-position model. Lineage: Eukaryota; Fungi. The record is from RNAcentral.
UUACCGAGUUUACAACUCCCAAACCCCUGUGAACAUACCACUUGUUGCCUCGGCGGAUCAGCCCGCUCCCGGUAAAACGGGACGGCCCGCCAGAGGACCCCUAAACUCUGUUUCUAUAUGUAACUUCUGAGUAAAACCAUAAAUAAAUCAAAACUUUCAACAACGGAUCUCUUGGUUCUGGCAUCGAUGAAGAACGCAGCAAAAUGCGAUAAGUAAUGUGAAUUGCAGAAUUCAGUGAAUCAUCGAAUCUUUGAACGCACAUUGCGCCCGCCAGUAUUCUGGCGGGCAUGCCUGUUCGAGCGUCAUUUCAACCCUCAAGCACAGCUUGGUGUUGGGACUCGCGUUAAUUCGCGUUCCCCAAAUUGAUUGGCGGUCACGUCGAGCUUCCAUAGCGUAGUAGUAAAACCCUCGUUACUGGUAAUCGUCGCGGCCACGCCGUUAAACCCCAACUUCUGAAUGUUGACCUCGGAUCAGGUAGGAAUACCCGCUGAACUUAAGCAUAUCAAUAAGCGGAGGAAAAGAAACCAACAGGGAUUGCCCUAGUAACGGCGAGUGAAGCGGCAACAGCUCAAAUUUGAAAUCUGGCUCUCGGGCCCGAGUUGUAAUUUGUAGAGGAUACUUUUGAUGCGGUGCCUUCCGAGUUCCCUGGAACGGGACGCCAUAGAGGGUGAGAGCCCCGUCUGGUUGGAUGCCAAAUCUCUGUAAAGUUCCUUCAACGAGUCGAGUAGUUUGGGAAUGCUGCUCUAAAUGGGAGGUAUAUGUCUUCUAAAGCUAAAUACC